UAGGGAAUCUUCGGCAAUGGACGGAAGUCUGACCGAGCAACGCCGCGUGAGUGAAGAAGUUUUUCGGAUCGUAAAGCUCUGUUGUAAGAGAAGAACGAGUGUGAGAGUGGAAAGUUCACACUGUGACGGUAUCUUACCAGAAAGGGACGGCUAACUACGUGCCAGCAGCCGCGGUAAUACGUAGGUCCCGAGCGUUGUCCGGAUUUAUUGGGCGUAAAGCGAGCGCAGGCGGUUAGAUAAGUCUGAAAUUAAAGGCUGUGGCUUAACCAUAGUAGGCUUUGGAAACUGUUUAACUUGAGUGCAAGAGGGGAGAGUGGAAUUCCAUGUGUAGCGGUGAAAUGCGUAGAUAUAUGGAGGAACACCGGUGGCGAAAGCGGCUCUCUGGCUUGUAACUGACGCCGAGGCUCGAAAGCGUGGGGAGCAAACAGGAUUAGAUACCCUGGUAGUCCACGCUGUAAACGAUGAGUGCUAGGUGUUAGACCCUUUCCGGGGUUUAGUGCCGUAGCUAACGCAUUAAGCACUCCGCCUGGGGAGUACGACCGCAAGGUUG
Molecule: ribosomal RNA, 550 nt
Filed under: uncultured bacterium
Lineage: Bacteria
Description: bacterial SSU rRNA
Rfam family: Bacterial small subunit ribosomal RNA
Source: RNAcentral